RNAcentral lists this long non-coding RNA (338 nucleotides) under Phoenix dactylifera (date palm). RNAcentral's name for it is "long non-coding RNA (PDAC_LNC003418)". The record is from RNAcentral. Lineage: Eukaryota; Viridiplantae; Streptophyta; Magnoliopsida; Arecales; Arecaceae.
CAAGAGAGAGGCACAUUUUUUUCAUUAGCAGAAAAAACACAGCCAUGAGGAAACAUCCAAAGCAAAGACCAGAGAUGCAUACAAGGACAAUUUCCAUAUGCUCUAUAAAAACUUCGGCAUCAUGAAGUAGAAUAUAUCCCAAGAUGGCUGAUCUAGAAUGUCAAUUGUCUUCAUCUCUCUUGCAGUUAAUUCAGCGAUCGCCAUAAUCUUUUUUUCUUCUCCAUGUUUUUUUCAUCAUAGACUCUUGAUCACAUCUAGAAGUCGAAGACGCUAGAAAUCACAGGCAUCACCUGUCCGGAUCAUAUCUUGAAGAUAAGGCCUCCUCCCCCACUGCUUUC